Molecule: transfer RNA, 56 nt
Filed under: Phytophthora infestans (potato late blight agent)
Lineage: Eukaryota; Oomycota; Peronosporomycetes; Peronosporales; Peronosporaceae
Also listed under: 1 other name
Rfam family: tRNA
About the family: Transfer RNA (tRNA) molecules are approximately 80 nucleotides in length.
Source: Rfam by way of RNAcentral
AGUUCAGCGGUUGAACACUCGCUUCACAAGCGACAGGUCGGUGGUUCGAACCCACU